ACUCAAAGGAAUAGACGGGGGCCCGCACAAGCAGUGGAGUAUGUGGUUUAAUUCGAAGCAACGCGAAGAACCUUACCGGGGCUUGACAUCUAUGGAAUUUGAUAGAGAUAUUAAAGUGCCUUUUGGAACCAUAAGACAGGUGGUGCAUGGUUGUCGUCAGCUCGUGUCGUGAGAUGUUGGGUUAAGUCCCGCAACGAGCGCAACCCUUAUUGUUAGUUGCUACCAUUAAGUUGAGCACUCUAGCAAGACUGCCGGCGACAAGUCGGAGGAAGGUGGGGACGACGUCAAAUCAUCAUGCCCCUUAUGUCCCGGGCUACACACGUACUACAAUGGCCGUUAACAACAGGCAGCGAAAUAGUGAUAUGGAGCAAAUCCCUAAAAACGGUCUCAGUUCGAAUUGCAGGCUGAAACUCGCCUGUAUGAAGUCGGAAUUGCUAGUAAUCGCGAAUCAGCAUGUCGCGGUGAAUACGUUCCCGGGCCUUGUACACACCGCCCGU
Molecule: ribosomal RNA, 497 nt
Filed under: uncultured bacterium
Lineage: Bacteria
Description: bacterial SSU rRNA
Rfam family: Bacterial small subunit ribosomal RNA
Source: RNAcentral